This 2919-nucleotide unclassified non-coding RNA is filed under the name Megachile rotundata (alfalfa leafcutting bee). Its description in RNAcentral is "uncharacterized LOC105662083, transcript variant X13". Lineage: Eukaryota; Metazoa; Arthropoda; Insecta; Hymenoptera; Megachilidae. The record is from RNAcentral.
ACUGGAGCGUAUGAAAUACAAAAUUAGUCUGAUCGUUCUGCGCUUGGCGGAGGAGAUCUUCGGGUGAUGCGGAUCGAUGCCCCUUCCUCGCUGGAUCCUGGAUCCUCCCUCAGGAUCAUCCCUUGUGCAAUGGUGGAGGAGUCCACCCCCGUCCGAUGUGGGCCCCUUCUCCUGGCUGUGGUCCACCCUCAGCCGCGUGGUGGUGGAGGCUCCGCCAAGACGCGGGAACGUAACAUUGAACAUGUGCUUAGAGAAAGCGUGGGACCCAGAGAAACGCGAAAACAAAGUCCUUGUACUGGGCGAAAAUUUACGACCCUCUUCGAGUGCAUGAAAAGACAGGAUAUUCGUAGGAGAUCUUGAAACUUUCAAGAACUGUACGCGACUUAGUCGAAAACAACAUAUUCGAUACGGUCCCUAAUAAAUUAAUCUCUACAAACAUUCAAAGUGAAGCUACGUUUAUUCUCUGGAUUCCCAAACUUUCCCAAGCAUGAACACCCACGUCGAGUGGCUUUAACAAUAUAAGCUUUGUCUAUUGUACAUGAUUGCACGCUCAGAUAGUUUAAAUUUCGCUCUUAAUUUAUGGUCAUCGAUAUAACAAAGUACAGACGCGCUCUGUAAAUAUCCUCACGGUCGUGUUGCCAUACUACAAUGACUAUAUUCAGGAUGAUAACAAGUACGCUUGCGUUACUCCUCCCCCCUUAUUUAAAAAGGUGUUUCCAUGAAACAGCUUUUCUAUAUCCAUACGCCUUAAUAUUAGUUGCAUAUACAAUAUUAACAUUAUAUGGUGCUUUUCUCAUACAAAGUUCAUACAAAAGGUGAGCAACAGUUAAGUCUAUCUAACAUCCAAGGUAUUUUAUUACAUACGUGUCACAAAUACGAGCAACGAGAUGCUUAACAGUCUCCAAUUAUCAUACAAGUUGCAACGAACAUAACCAUACCAGUUUAAGCAGAUCCAUGUACAUAGUGACAGAGUCUAGACUAUAUUUAGCAGUAUUCCAAUUACGCGAAUACAAUAUGAGCACAUGUGUACAAAGAUUUUGUGCAGCGAUGGUCUGUGUGGUGGUGAUUCUGGCAAGAAGAUCAUCAAAAUAUUGUACGAAUGUUCGGGGUGCUGGUCUUGUGGCAAAUUCCGAGGGUAUGUUGGCCUUGGUGCCAAAGACUAAUUCGUGUGGAGAGAACCCAGUGGCUUCAUGCACUGAGGUGUUAUACGAAAAGAUGCAGAACCUCACCCAGUCAUCCCAGUCUGUUUUCGUGCAAUAUAUCUUUAGGUAAUUAAUAAGACUGCGAUGUGCCCUUUCGAGCGAACCUAAUGAUUGGGGAUGAAACGCUGUGGAAGUUAUAGUUUGGAUUUUGAAGAUUUUACAGAAGUGUUUCAUUAUACGACUAACGAAGUUUCUUCCCUGAUCUGUGUGUAUUACUCUUGGGCAACCAAAUCUACUGAUAAAUUGCUCAGCAAGUGCAAGGGCAAUCGUUACUGCAUCCAUGGAUUUUAUGGGAAUUGCAUCUGAAUAUUUCGUAAGGUUGUCCUGUAUGGUAAGCAGAUAUUGAUUUCCUCUGGUAGUUCUGGGUAAGGGUCCUACAAUAUCCAUCUGCACCUUCUCAAAGGCUCUUUGCGGUGUAUCAGUGAUUUGCAUAGGUUGUCUGGUUUUUGCACAAUAAUUUUUAUUUCUUUGGCAGGUUGAACAGGAUCGGACAAAUUCCGUGAUUUCUUUUGCCAUGCCUGGCCAAUAAAAUCGUUGCCGGAGGAGCUGGAGUAAUUUAAAGAUACCUCUGUGGCCUCCAACCACAGAUUCAUGGUAUUCUUGGAUAAUACGAAGACGACUCGACUCAGGUGGGAUAAUAACUUCUUCGGUGCACACGGUGAUUCUAUAUUUCGGGUCAGCAAAGGUGGCAAGAAGGGAUUUGAGGGACUUCAAUGAAGAUUCGACGUGUCCAAGAUCAAAUUCGCUUUGGGAUUCACUCUUGUAAAAUAAGAGGAAGACAGAGUAUCUAUCAUGAGGAAAGGCCAUGGCGUUACUGACUUCAAUUUGGUACUGUUGGAUCUGUUCGGGGGAACAUUCGAUUCUGCUUAGCAAGCCUUUGGUGGUUUGGGAAUUAUCGUCACCGGUUAAUGGGAUAAAAUGGGCGAGAUUAUCUCGUCGCACGAAAAGAUUUUCAUCUACACAAACUACAGCGGGUGGAGCAGGGAAAGGUAUUUCUGUCAGGGUUAUUCCUCUACAAGGUUUCCUUGCACAAAUCAGAUCGCCAGCCACAACAUUCACACUCUCAAUACAACUCAACUCUUCCACGUGCCCACCUGACUUUACCGUCCGAGGUGGUAGUUUCACGUGUCCACUCGAAUCUCCUGUUCGCAGUGGUCUCAUCGGCAGUUCACCCAACAACGCAGGACGGGGUGACGCCGGCAUCGCACACUCACCCGAAUCCCCUGUUUGGUGUGACGGCGGAACCAUACACUCCAUGGGAUCACUAUUCAUUCGUGGCGACCUUGAUUGCGCCUCAGACACACAGGUAUCUGAGUCGGAAAAUCCUUGAACAACAUCAAUUAAUUCGGUUUCUGCUUUCCCGCGCGCCAGGAAUGCAGAAGCCACCAUUACUUCAUUCCUAAAGCAUAAUGUCUCAUUCUUUUCGUCCGUCUCAGGGUUUGCAAUAGGAGUCUCAACCAUGCAGGUGAGCACCUCCUCUAGAUGUUCCGGGUUGUGAUUGGGUUUUAUGGUACGCUGUACAGGUCGUAGAUAAGGAAUAGGAUUUUCAGCGGGGUCAACGGGAUUCCGCGAAAGAGCAUUGGCAUUAGCGUUUACUCUCCCUGGUUUAUUACUACAUUGUAAUCAUAUUUGUUCAAUUUAAUACGCCACCUAAGCAGUUUGGAUGUGGGAUCUUUGAUACUGUGCAACCAUACUAGGGGCCUGUGGGUUUAAAGCC